RNAcentral lists this ribosomal RNA (482 nucleotides) under uncultured bacterium. Its description in RNAcentral is "partial 16S ribosomal RNA". It matches the Rfam family "Bacterial small subunit ribosomal RNA", at positions 28 to 507 of the family's 1533-position model. The record is from RNAcentral.
GAUGAACGCUAGCGGCAGGCCUAAUACAUGCAAGUCGGACGGGAUUCAGGAGCUUGCUUCUGAUGAGAGUGGCGCACGGGUGCGUAACACGUAUGUAACCUACCUUUAUCAGGGGGAUAGCCUCUCGAAAGAGAGAUUAAGCCCGCAUAAAAUCACAGCACAGCAUUGUGUAAUGAUCAAAUAUUUAUAGGAUAAAGAUGGGCAUGCGGAACAUUAGCUAGAUGGCGGGGUAACGGCCCACCAUGGCGACGAUGUUUAGGGGAUCUGAGAGGAUGGCCCCCCACACUGGUACUGGGACACGGACCAGACUCCUACGGGAGGCAGCAGUAAGGAAUAUUGGUCAAUGGGCGGAAGCCUGAACCAGCCAUGCCGCGUGCAGGAAGACGGCCCUACGGGUUGUAAACUGCUUUUAUACGGGAAUAAACCCAGAUACGUGUAUCUGGCUGAAUGUACUGUAAGAAUAAGGAUCGGCUAACUCCGUG